Molecule: ribosomal RNA, 383 nt
Filed under: uncultured prokaryote
Description: bacterial SSU rRNA
Rfam family: Archaeal small subunit ribosomal RNA
Source: RNAcentral
GCGAAAACUUACAAUGCUGGCAACAGCGAUAAGGGAACCUCGAGUGCCAGGUUACAAAUCUGGCUGUCGAGAUGCCUAAAAAGCAUUUCAUAGCAAGGGCCGGGCAAGACCGGUGCCAGCCGCCGCGGUAACACCGGCGGCUCGAGUGGUAACCGUUAUUAUUGGGUCUAAAGGGUCUGUAGCCGGCCGGAUAAGUCUCUUGAGAAAUCUGGCAGCUUAACUGUCAGGCUUUCAGGAGAUACUGUCUGACUCGAGGCCGGGAGAGGUGAGAGGUACUUCAGGGGUAGGGGUGAAAUCUUGUAAUCCUUGAAGGACCACCAGUGGCGAAGGCGUCUCACCAGAACGGACCUGACGGCAAGGGACGAAAGCUAGGGGCACGAACC